CGUAGGGUGCGAGCGUUAUCCGGAAUUAUUGGGCGUAAAGAGCUCGUAGGCGGUUUGUCGCGUCUGUCGUGAAAGUCCGGGGCUUAACCCCGGAUCUGCGGUGGGUACGGGCAGACUAGAGUGCAGUAGGGGAGACUGGAAUUCCUGGUGUAGCGGUGGAAUGCGCAGAUAUCAGGAGGAACACCGAUGGCGAAGGCAGGUCUCUGGGCUGUAACUGACGCUGAGGAGCGAAAGCAUGGGGAGCGACAGGAUU
Molecule: ribosomal RNA, 253 nt
Filed under: uncultured bacterium
Lineage: Bacteria
Description: partial 16S ribosomal RNA
Rfam family: Bacterial small subunit ribosomal RNA
Source: RNAcentral